RNAcentral lists this ribosomal RNA (1251 nucleotides) under Chryseobacterium sp. RNAcentral describes it as "bacterial SSU rRNA". It matches the Rfam family "Bacterial small subunit ribosomal RNA", at positions 87 to 1353 of the family's 1533-position model. Lineage: Bacteria; Pseudomonadati; Bacteroidota; Flavobacteriia; Flavobacteriales; Weeksellaceae. The record is from RNAcentral.
CCGGCGUGGACGGGGACUUGCGGAACACGUGUGCACCAACCUGCCUUUAUCUGGGGGAUAUUUCGAAAGGAAAUUUAAUACAUAAUAUAUUUGUCGGCAUCGAUGGAUAUUGAAAACUCCGGUGGAUAGAGAUGGGCACGCGCAAGAUUAGAUAGUUGGUGAGGUAACGGCUCACCAAGUCUACGAUCUUUAGGGGGCCUGAGAGGGUGAUCCCCCACACUGGUACUGAGACACGGACCAGACUCCUACGGGAGGCAGCAGUGAGGAAUAUUGGACAAUGGGUGAGAGCCUGAUCCAGCCAUCCCGCGUGAAGGACGACGGCCCUAUGGGUUGUAAACUUCUUUUGUAUAGGGAUAAACCUACUCUCGUGAGAGUAGCUGAAGGUACUAUACGAAUAAGCACCGGCUAACUCCGUGCCAGCAGCCGCGGUAAUACGGAGGGUGCAAGCGUUAUCCGGAUUUAUUGUUUAAAGGGUCCGUAGGCGGAUCUGUAAGUCAGUGGUGAAAUCUCACAGCUUAACUGUGAAACUGCCAUUGAUACUGCAGGUCUUGAGUGUUAUUGAAGUAGCUGGAAUAAGUAGUGUAGCGGUGAAAUGCAUAGAUAUUACUUAGAACACCAAUUGCGAAGGCAGGUUACUAAGCAACAACUGACGCUGAUGGACGAAAGCGUGGGGAGCGAACAGGAUAGAUACCCUGGUAGUCCACGCCGUAAACGAUGCUAACUCGUUUUUGGGUUUUCGGAUUCAGAGACUAAGCGAAAGUGAUAAGUUAGCCACCUGGGGAGUACGUUCGCAAGAAUGAAACUCAAAGGAAUUGACGGGGGCCCGACAAGCGGUGGAUUAUGUGGUUUAAUUCGAUGAUACCGAGGAACCUUACCAAGGCUUAAAUGGGAAAUGACAGGUUUAGAAAUAGACUUUUCUUCGGACAUUUUUCAAGGUGCUGCAUGGUUGUCGUCAGCUCGUGCCGUGAGGUGUUAGGUUAAGUCCUGCAACGAGCGCAACCCCUGUCACUAGUUGCCAUCAUUAAGUUGGGGACUCUAGUGAGACUGCCUACGCAAGUAGAGAGGAAGGUGGGGAUGACGUCAAAUCAUCACGGCCCUUACGCCUUGGGCCACACACGUAAUACAAUGGCCGGUACAGAGGGCAGCUACACAGCGAUGUGAUGCAAAUCGAAAGGGUCUCAGUUCGGAUUGGAGUCUGCAACUUACGCGACUCUAUGAAGCUGCUCAAGUCGCUAGCUCUCAAUAAUCCCG